CCUACGGGAUGCAGCAGUGGGGAAUAUUGCACAAUGGGGGAAACCCUGAUGCAGCGACGCCGCGUGAGUGAAGAAGUAUUUCGGUAUGUAAAGCUCUAUCAGCAGGGAAGAAAUAGCGACCUUUGGGUCGCCAGACGGUACCUGACUAAGAAGCCCCGGCUAACUACGUGCCAGCAGCCGCGGUAAUACGUAGGGGGCAAGCGUUAUCCGGAUUUACUGGGUGUAAAGGGAGCGUAGACGGCAGCACAAGUCUGGAGUGAAAUGCCGGGGCUUAACCCCGGAACAGCGUUGGAAACUGUGCAGCUAGAGUGCAGGAGAGGUAAGUGGAAUUCCUAGUGUAGCGGUGAAAUGCGGAGAUAUUAGGAGGAACACCAGUGGCGAAGGCGGCUUACUGGACUGUAACUGACGUUGAGGCUCGAAAGCGUGGGGAGCAAACAGGAUUAGAUACCCCAGUAGUC
This 458-nucleotide ribosomal RNA is filed under the name uncultured bacterium. Its description in RNAcentral is "partial 16S ribosomal RNA". It matches the Rfam family "Bacterial small subunit ribosomal RNA", at positions 338 to 795 of the family's 1533-position model. The record is from RNAcentral.